GAUGAACGCUGGCGGCGUGCCUAAUACAUGCAAGUCGAGCGAACGGACGAGAAGCUUGCUUCUCUGAUGUUAGCGGCGGACGGGUGAGUAACACGUGGAUAACCUACCUAUAAGACUGGGAUAACUUCGGGAAACCGUAGCUAAUACCGGAUAAUAUUUUGAACCGCAUGGUUCAAAAGUGAAAGACGGUCUUGCUGUCACUUAUAGAUGGAUCCGCGCUGCAUUAGCUAGUUGGUAAGGUAACGGCUUACCAAGGCAACGAUGCAUAGCCGACCUGAGAGAGUGAUCGGCCACACUGGAGCUGGGACACGGUCCCGACGCCUACGAGAGGCAGCAGUAGCGAAUCUGCCGCGCUGGGCGAGAGCCUGACGGAGCAACGCCGCGUGAGUGAUGAAGGUCUUCGGAUCGUAAAACUCUGUUAUUAGGGAAGAACAUAUGUGUAAGUAACUGUGCACAUCUUGACGGUACCUAAUCAGAAAGCCACGGCUAACUACGUG
RNAcentral lists this ribosomal RNA (497 nucleotides) under uncultured bacterium. Its description in RNAcentral is "partial 16S ribosomal RNA". It matches the Rfam family "Bacterial small subunit ribosomal RNA", at positions 28 to 507 of the family's 1533-position model. The record is from RNAcentral.